UACGUAGGGGCUAGCGUUAUCCGGAUUUACUGGGCGUAAAGGGUGCGUAGGUGGUUUCUUAAGUCAGAGGUGAAAGGCUACGGCUCAACCGUAGUAAGCCUUUGAAACUGGGAAACUUGAGUGCAGGAGAGGAGAGUGGAAUUCCUAGUGUAGCGGUGAAAUGCGUAGAUAUUAGGAGGAACACCAGUUGCGAAGGCGGCUCUCUGGACUGUAACUGACACUGAGGCACGAAAGCGUGGGGAGCAAACAGGAUUAGAUACCACUGUAGUCCCUGA
This 275-nucleotide ribosomal RNA is filed under the name uncultured prokaryote. RNAcentral's name for it is "partial 16S ribosomal RNA". It matches the Rfam family "Bacterial small subunit ribosomal RNA", at positions 524 to 800 of the family's 1533-position model. The record is from RNAcentral.